UUAAUACUCCAAAAAAACUCUCAUUCUUUCUGCGCCGCAUCAAUCAAAACCUACAAUCCCGUUUUGAGUUCAUUCAUUUCAUCAUCACCACUACUUCGCUUCGUUCCAUCAUUGAGGGCUUUCAAUUUUGAUGUUGCUGACUAUCUUCAGGAAUCCCUGAGGGAAGUUGGCGCAAUUUGAAGCUCAAUUUGAAGAAGCGGGAUAUGAGCAAAAGUUUUAAAGAAACUCAGUAAGGACAUGCCAUAAUAUGGCUUCAGUGUUGUGUAGAUUGGGAAUCACUGUUGGUGAUGGAACUAAUCAUGAGGUUUGUUUACACUCAGUCUCUAAUUUUAAACUACUUGAAUCUUUUGAAGGCAAAUAAUUUCAGGGGACAUGCCUUUUUUUUUUUUGAAAUAGAGUUUCAGGGGACAUGCUUUUAAAUUACAGUGGCAUUAUUAUUUUGCCCUGUUCUGAUUUUUGGUUGGUGAACUCUCUUGUUUUUUAGCAAUCAUAUGAUUCUUUUGUAUUGGUCUUAUUUAAGAGAAGUUCAUUUGAAACAUAAAUGGAAGUCCACUACAAAUCUGCUUCUUCUGCUGAUGAGCAACUUAGAUGAUUUGAUUGCAUAUCCAUUAAGAUGUAGUUAUCAACCUAACUUACACUUUGGCUGAUAAUGAGUGCUACAGUUUGUACAUGUAUAUGAUCCUAGUUUGCCAACUAUGGUAUCCCAGAAUGUAGUUUAAUUAAAAUGGUAAUGGUCAUUUUUCUACUCUUGAGACAUUAAAAAAAUAUUAUAUUAGUCAAACUUCUGCUAUACAUAUCAUCUAUUCUAAUUGUUACCUGAAAGGAAUUAGAUGGCUUAAUCUGGAUGAAGGUUAAUGUAUUACAUAUUGCAUUAAUGUGUUGUAUUAAGAUUAAGGCUUAUUUAAGUAGGUUCACAUAUAUUGGUAAAAGUUUGUUUUGGGUAGAUACUGCUAAUGGUCCUUUUGAAAAAGAUGUCUAUGCUUUGAAUUUUGCAAUCUUGAAUUACUUUGUUAUCCUAAAUGUAUGGAACUAUGCAAGGUUAUGCUGCUUGGAGACUUCAAAAAUAUUGUCGAGUACAUGUUGGAUCCUCCAAACCUUGUUGGAAGAUGGAAAAAACUAACUAGUGAGAAAAUCUUUCAAACAUCUUCCCUUGGAUGGUGCGUUGAAUAGGUUUGCAACUUAAGCACAUGAGCACGUUUGGUUUUGAGAGUGACUAUUGUUUUAAUAAUUCUCGCAGGUUGGCGUGAUUGUUUCUAAUGAUGGAAUACUUCUUCAUAACUACAUCCAAGAAUUCUGAAGAACCACUUUAGAAGAAAGCCUUAUUAUGUUGAUCUUCUUGAAUUGUUUAAUGAGGGCCCUCGCUUCUUCAAUUUUCUACAAGUACAAUCCCGUUAAGACAUAUUUCAUGAGCACAAUCAAGAUGAGCCUGAAGCUCAACUCGAUGGCCAAACUGCAACACAGACUCUUAGCUCAGAGAUAUUGCAGGACACAAUGUUAGCGAUAAUGUCAAGCAUCUGACACCUAGCUGUCACAAUCGAGUAAAGCAAGUACACCAUUGACACCCCUGCUCUUCUGCAAGCUGUGAUGGAAAUUGAAGGUCUGAAAGAAUCAAAGAGAAUGUGCGCCUUCGAGUUUUUGAAUGAGGACCCUACAAAAGCAAGAGCCCUCAUGGCAUACAAUAGAAGACUCAGAAGGAUAUAUUUGUUUCGACUGUUUGGUUGGUGGAGAUAAUAUUUUGAUUAUUUGUUCUACUGCUUCUUGGUCCUCUCUUUUUGAUGGAUAAUCAGUACAUCGUAGAGGAUUGUGCAAAAGUACAUCUUUUAAUAUGUUUUCUUAGCAAUUUGUUAGUUAUGUUUUCUUUAAGUUUCUUGUCACAGGCUAGCCAGUAGAGUUAUUACUGGGCUACAAUUUUGUAAUGUUUUCUCUUGGGUGAUUAAUAAAAAAAAUGA
This is a long non-coding RNA of Solanum stenotomum, 1949 nucleotides long. RefSeq lists it as uncharacterized. Lineage: Eukaryota; Viridiplantae; Streptophyta; Magnoliopsida; Solanales; Solanaceae. The transcript has 5 exons. The record is from RefSeq and is a predicted model, not a curated record.